Molecule: long non-coding RNA, 1015 nt
Organism: Leopardus geoffroyi (Geoffroy's cat)
Lineage: Eukaryota; Metazoa; Chordata; Mammalia; Carnivora; Felidae
Exons: 2
Source: RefSeq, a predicted model, not a curated record
UAAAUUGAAUGAACGAAUUCAAGGAGUUUACACCACACUUAACAUGACCAGGGCACAGUUGUGAUGGGUGAUUCAGCUGAUGGCUCCAAGCCUACCGCACUGCAAUGUGGCCAGACUGGCUGGAACGUGUGUGAUGAGUUAGCAGUCAGAACGCAGUCUCAUGCAUCCCUAAUGCUAUAUAUAAUGGGUACAUCUGAACUUAUUAAAGAGGGGCACUGCACCCACACAAGGUCCCCUGCCGUGAGGACUUUUGGCAGCAGUAGGAAGGCACAAAUCCGAGGGGUAACUGAUGAAAAUGACAAGAGAAUGCUGUAGAAGUGUAUAAAUUGUGUUUAUGGGAAGAAGCAAAAAGUCGCUGAUUUUCUGAAGGUCAGCCAUGGACAGACUUCUUGGCAAUGAUGAUCUUUAAUAUUUUAAUCCCGCCAUCUCAAUUUGAUUCUACGACUUGAAACAGGCUUCAUGGUGUUAACUAAAGAAAUUAAGAUUGGCAAGGUUAUUGAGACUUGAUUGCAAAAACCAGGCAGCAAGGUGGCUAGAAACUUUAACGUAUCUGGUCAGUCAGCAGUGAAAAAUGAUAACCCAUCUUUGAAGAUUUUGUUUUUUAUUCCUGGUAAUGCACCAAACCUUGCUAAUUCAAAACAGUCUUUCCUAAAAUUGGAGAAUUUCCCAAAUGUAAACUAUAUUUGUAAAUAUUAACUAAGGCAUACUUACACUACUUAGUUGAAUAAAGUAUGUUAAAUGAAAAAUAAUGUCACAACAGGGCAAAUUCAAUGUUUUCUCUAAACUUUAAAAUAUCAUUUACUUUUUAAAAUUUUGCUCAAAAUCAAUUACAUAUUUUGGGGGGUCUCUGGUUAGAAUGGUGUUUUGACUUCUGGCCCCUGACAUAAUUCAAAGGUAGAAUACUUUAAAAGAAUAAUCCUCCACAACCAAUUAUGGUUUGUGCCAAGAAUAAAAAGAUGUUUUUGUUUUAGAAAAUCUGUUAAUAUAUAAUACAUCACCUUUGCAGAUAAAUGAG